AGAGUUUGAUCAUGGCUCAGAACGAACGCUGGCGGCAGGCUUAACACAUGCAAGUCGAACGCACCUUCGGGUGAGUGGCAGACGGGUGAGUAACGCGUGGGAACGUGCCCUUCAGUUCGGAAUAACCCAGGGAAACUUGGGCUAAUACCGGAUACGUGCGAGAGCAGAAAGAUUUAUCGCUGAAGGAUCGGCCCGCGUCUGAUUAGCUAGUUGGUGGGGUAAUGGCCCACCAAGGCGACGAUCAGUAGCUGGUCUGAGAGGAUGAUCAGCCACAUUGGGACUGAGACACGGCCCAAACUCCUACGGGAGGCAGCAGUGGGGAAUAUUGGACAAUGGGCGCAAGCCUGAUCCAGCCAUGCCGCGUGAGUGAUGAAGGCCUUAGGGUUGUAAAGCUCUUUCGGCGGGGACGAUAAUGACGGUACCCGCAGAAGAAGCCCCGGCUAACUUCGUGCCAGCAGCCGCGGUAAUACGAAGGGGGCUAGCGUUGUUCGGAAUCACUGGGCGUAAAGGGCGCGUAGGCGGCUUGAUAAGUCGGGGGUGAAAGCCUGUGGCUCAACCACAGAAUUGCCUUCGAUACUGUCUGGCUUGAGACCGGAAGAGGUAAGUGGAACUGCGAGUGUAGAGGUGAAAUUCGUAGAUAUUCGCAAGAACACCAGUGGCGAAGGCGGCUUACUGGUCCGGUUCUGACGCUGAGGGCGAAAGCGUGGGGAGCAAACAGGAUUAGAUACCCUAGUAGUCC
RNAcentral lists this ribosomal RNA (739 nucleotides) under uncultured bacterium. RNAcentral's name for it is "bacterial SSU rRNA". It matches the Rfam family "Bacterial small subunit ribosomal RNA", at positions 8 to 796 of the family's 1533-position model. The record is from RNAcentral.